Pieris rapae (cabbage white) is the source of this 251-nucleotide long non-coding RNA. RefSeq lists it as uncharacterized. The record is from RefSeq and is a predicted model, not a curated record. The transcript is spliced from 2 exons. NCBI's taxonomy places the organism in Eukaryota, Metazoa, Arthropoda, Insecta, Lepidoptera, Pieridae.
AUAUUACAAGCGCAGCCUUGCUAGAAGCUUUAAAAUGCCUUUUGGAUUUAUAAUAGUCACGGGAAUCCUGGCGUUUGGCGCCUAUUGGACGACAAAAUAUUUAUUGAGCAUGGCCGACCACAACGCAUCCACAACUCAUCAUCCAUUAACAACUACCAUCGGCCCGAAGUUAUGAUGAAUUAUUUUAUUUUAUUCACACGCUUGUUAAGUUAAGUUGUUAGGGUUAGUAUCAAAUAAAUGAUUUAAUUAUA